UGAGUAACCUGCCCUUGACUCUGGGAUAAGCCUGGGAAACCGAGUCUAAUACUGGAUACGACCUUCUGGCGCAUGCCAUGUUGGUGGAAAGCUUUUGUGGUUUUGGAUGGACUCGCGGCCUAUCAGCUUGUUGGUGGGGUAACGCUCACCAAGGCGACGACGGGUAGCUGGUCUGAGAGGAUGGCCAGCCACAUUGGGACUGAGACACGGCCCAGACUCCGUACGGGAGCAG
RNAcentral lists this ribosomal RNA (232 nucleotides) under uncultured bacterium. Its description in RNAcentral is "partial 16S ribosomal RNA". It matches the Rfam family "Bacterial small subunit ribosomal RNA", at positions 118 to 347 of the family's 1533-position model. The record is from RNAcentral.